ACAGGAAGGGACCCAGGAGGACCCUGCGCAUGCGCGCUGCCUAGGGAGGCGCUGGAAGGAGUGGGUUCCUCCUACCUGUGGCAGGACCACCCUUCCAACAGGAGCCGUGUCCCGAUCAAAGAAGACUUUUGGAGGAGUCAAACUGCAAAGAACACUCUGAGAACAGACCAGAAGCCUGGAAGAAGCAAGAACCAGUCAAGCUACCUUGAAGAUGUGUAGACCAACAGAGUCACUUAGAAAGGACACUCUUCAGUCUGUUGAGCCUCCUUAAGGUUGUGCAGCGUGCUCCAGCUUCCCAGCUUCUGGUCUCACGAUGUAUUCCUGGUUUGAGUCCAGUUUAGAGAGGAGUCUGGCUUCACACUCACAGAAGUAAGCUGCUUCUGCCUUCCAAGUUCUGAGACUGCAAGAUUGUGCCACCAUACACAGUGUUCUUGGUUGUCAACUAGACUAUAUCUGGAAGAAACAAUAAUCCAGAAAUGGAGGGCACAUUUGUGAUCUGAAUCUGGAGGAGGGAAGACAGCAUGACUCUGAUCAAGAUCUUGAAGUGGGAAGACACCUUUAACCUGGCUCACUCCUUCUGCUGGAAACUUAUGUAAGAACAAUGGAAGAAGGGAAGUAUUGCUCUCUACCGGCUUGUCCUCACCUUGCUAGCACAUCCAUUCCUUCACUGGCAUUGGAGCUUAAUUCUUUAGGAUUCUAGCAUAUACAGAAGACUGGCUGAGAUACCAAGCCUGCAGGACUGAGCAACUACUAUAUUCUUCAACUUUCCAUUCACAGUUAGCCAUUGCUGGAUUAGUUUGACUGCAGCCUGGAAAUCAUGCCAAUAAAUUCCAUGUAUAUUCAUUCCAUAAGUUCUGUGUCUCUAGAGAACCCUGACUAAUACAGUUGUUAAAUCAGUUAUUUUACCAUUUAAGAAAACUGUUAAAAUUUAUCAUGUAUUUAUUUUUUUCUAUUUGUUUCCUGCUUUCUAAUGUCCUGUCAUCAGAUACAUAAAUGUUUGUUAACUAUGCUGACUUAAUGGAUUGAGAAUGUUAGGCCUAAGGGGGCCCCCAAUUUCCAGAGGCGGAUGACGAGAACUGAGGAGAUUGGAUUAUCGAUGCAAUAGCAAGAGGUUUAUUUAAGCCAUUGUAAGAUGGGGCUGCCCCCACAAAACCAGCAAGGAACCAGCCAGGAGAGACAGAAGACUGAGGUUUUUAAAGGAAAGAGUGCGGGGAAUCUCAGAGGUUGCAAGCUUGGCCACACUGGGUUGGGUAGAGUAGUUGACUUUUAAAAUGUUUGGUUCAUUCUAGGUGCCGAGUCCAUCUGGUCCUGCCUGAUGUGGGUGGGGGAGCUAUGAUGUCUGGACUGGCUACCAGGCAAAGUUAUCUGGACCCUCCUCCACAGCAGGGAGGAGACCUUUCACAUUCCUUUGCAAUGGGGUGGGGUCUUAUUUCGAUUUACCCUCUCCUCCUCCUGCUUUCUGGAAAAGUACUGGGAGAAUUCAGUUUAUCAUGGGGUAUAGAAUUUACAAAGAAACCUGUAGAGCUGGCCUGUUCCUUUCAGAGAAGGAUCCUAUUUACAUCCAAACUGAUAUUCAUUGUUUUGAGAUCUGAUUUGCUGUUAAUCAGUCCACCUCUCUUUUGAUUACUGUUCACAUGCUGUAUUUCCAUUCUUUUUCUUCUACCCUAUUCAUGAGUGUGUGUUUGGACCUCUUUACAAAAACAGCAUAUAGCUGAUAUCUUAUUCCAUUUUAUUCUUGUUUCUCCCACUAUAUUGCUCUUAGGCAUCUAGACAGCAUAUAAGGAAAAAGCUUACAGCCCACAGUUUGUAGACUGAAAAUAAAUGACCAUGGCACCACCAUCUGCUUAUCUUCUGCUUGAGAGCUUGCGCUGAACCACAUCAUGGCAGAGAAACCAAAGUGGGUAGCAUGAAUGUAUAGGAACUAAUGUGUGGUACAAUGACUGUUGGGGGUUGCUCUGAAGCUUUAUGUUGAUGCUAAUUAUUGCUCUUCAAGAUCUGGUUACCCCUAUCCUUGUUUUGUAAACCUACCUAAGACAUUUUACCUGAUUGGAAGAUCUAUGUCUAAUUCUGUACCUUGGUGUGGCUAAAGUUCUCAGGCUAUGGAGUUCAAGAGAAUCACUGGAAACAGAGGGACAGGAAGAGAGGAGGAAGGAGGACUCCACCAUGGGUUAUUGUGGAGAAGGAGCCAUGUGGACCAGGAGGAAGGACUCCAAGUAUGGUGUGGAUGGAGAAAACACCAAGAUAAACAAUAUAAGCUCAUAUUUAUAAGAUGAUGGAUGGAAGGUGGCCCAGAUUAGGAUGGUCAAGGCAGAUGUCACUGGAUGGGAGCUGGAAGACAGAUGGAGAGGUUAUUGAGACAGCGUAGGUAAAAAAUACCUGCCUGGCCCAAGGUAAUAAGGCUGUUAUAAAAUCUAACAGGUGUCUGUGUCUUAUUUGUGAUAGCAGGUUAAAUAAUACCACUGCAAUAAUUAUAGGGCAAAAAAAUAUAGUUAACAUUACAUAGCCGAACACUCACGGUUUUUUCUGUUGAUACAACAAGAGACAGAAGUGUCAAGCUUGCUUUAUCACAAUCAACUGUUUCACUGAACAGUCAGGUCCCAUGAGGCUAAGAACUCACACCUCUGGGGAAGGGGUUAAUAUCUCUCAACACUGCAUGCCAGACUAAGCCACAGCAGAACAGUACAGUGCUGUGGCUCUCCUGUACAGUCUCAGUUCAGACUACCUAUAUUUAAUGUGCUAUAAUCAUCUUCAUUUUUAAAUUUCAGUUUAAUUUCUGAUGUGUUACGGGAGUGUAUCGUGUGGUUUUGGUGAAUGUGUGUGUGGAAGGAAGGGGAGGUUGGGUGCCAUACUUCCGUCUUAUUGCCCUGAGAUGGGGGUCUUUCUGAGCCUGAGCUAGGCUGGCAGCCAGGAAGUUCCCUUGAUUGUCUGUCUCUGCUCCAUCAUAGUGCUGAGGUUUCACAUGUUCAUGUGGCCAGGACUGGCUUUCUUAUAUGGAUUCUGGAAUUUAAACUCAGUUCCUCAUACUACUUCAUCAAGUACUCUGACUCACAGAGCCAUCUCCUGGUCCCCCUUAUUCAGUUUUUCAGUUGUUUUAGUCAGCAAGUAAAUAAGGAAGUUGGUGAGUCUGUCUCUACUGGAUUUUAAAAAUGUCACUGUAGUUGGUCAAAACAAAUACAGUUUUUCCAGCUUGUUACAACUUUUUGUCCUUUAACAAAGAGAUUUUCAUUGAAAAGUCAUUAUUAGGAAUUACUUAAAGUCAUAUUGAAUAUGAAGCAUUGUAAGAUCAUUAAAUUCAUGGAAUCAAGUCAAAAUAUCUUGAGAAAAACAAAAUUAUAUUACUUAGAAGCCACAUAAAUUAGAAGUAUCUUUCUUAAUACUGUCUAAAUUUUUGUCUGAAUUAUGUAAUGUGCAGAAGCAACACAUUUUUUUACUAGCCUGAUAUAGAUACCUUUAACCCACCACAAAUAUAUGCAUAUGCAAUAUGUUUUAUACAUGUGAUAAUUUUCUGGGAAUCACAACACAUUAAAACAUUUGUAAGGUCCAGAGAAAUAUCGGUCUUAGAGAACCUUUGAGCUGUAGGAUAAUGCUUCAAGAGUUUGGACUGGCAUAAGAGAAGUAAUAUAUCCUAAGACAAGGUGUCCAGCAUGUAUAUGUAUUGUUUAGUUUGUUUUUUUUUUUAAGAGGACAUUGUGCAGGCAACACUGAAGCCCAAAUUGUUUCAGGAAAUGAUUUUAUACUGAUCCUUAUUAGACAUCUUUUAAAAUACUGAUAAUAAAAUAGAUAUAAUUCUUUUCCUCCUGACAAUCAUUCCCUUUCUAAUGUAACUGAGCUUUUGAGUGGAUGAUUUUAUAAAAUUUCUAUAGCAAUUGCAAGUCUUCUGUAAUGCAUUGGAGGUAGGGUCUAGUCAGAAAGGAAGUCAUCAUGGACAUUACCUUCAGAUGGAACCACCAUUUUUCUUGUGGACUAUUAUAUCUUUUUAAGAGUAGAAUGAUAUAAAAGCGAAAGCAAGGGCCCCUGUUCUCUGGCUUCCCACUCUUCUAGUGAUCCUUCUAACACUUGCUUCUGUUAUGAUUCCAUUUGUUGUAAGGCUCCACCAGACUCCAUAACAAAUUAGAACCACUUCAUUUUAGAAUGUUGAUCUCCAAAAACUACCGGCCUUUAUACACUAUGUGGCAUAGGUAAUUUUUAUAGCAAUGGAAAAGAGAUUGGUGUGACCUCUGUGUGCAAAACUGAAAUAUAAUAAAGACUUCUCACAUUAAGACAAUUAAGACACAGAAAAAAAAAAAAAACAGGUCAUUGAUUAAGUGAGAAGUGCACACAAGUCUUCAGGCUCAUAAAUGAAGGGACAGUGUCCCACGUCACAGAUAUGAUUUAACUUCCAAUAGAGAAGCAGCAUUUGUUUUAUAAUCGAAGGCUACAGUAAGUUUCUACUGACUGAAGUGUUUUAUUAAAAUCUAAUUCUGCCAAAUCUUCUGCUGUGGCUUACAUUUUAUUGUAUCCAUAUUCAAGAUGGGGAGACCUAUUCUAAGCCAUAUGAUAAGCACUUAUACUCGAGCAUCAGGACUGAGCCACUGUUCCUUUAAAUUAAGACAAAAAACUUUUGUUCUGAAAAGCCCCAAAAUCAGAUAGUAAAAUUUGGGAAAUUUAUAUCAGUGCUGAGACUUCAUGAAAAUGUCUUUAGACAACAAUCAUAAAAAUGCAGAUGGUAAGAAUAUAUAAUGAGAUUUGGGGAAUUUCAAUUUUAAUAACAGAAUAAAACACUGUCUCUUGUCUGUAAUUUAAUAAGGAGAGUUUUCCUGGGGUUAUAAAAUGUGAAAUUAUAGCCUGGAGUUUCUCAGUGACAACUAAAUUUAAAUAAGAGCUUUGGAAUGAAACAUCACAAGGUUUUAUGGUGAAGAAUGUACUUUUGUAAAUAAUGUCCAUAAAACUAAGUCAGUGUAUCCUAAAUAUUUUACCAGUAGAUGCUAAGGAGAAGCUUGAGGCAGGCAAACAGAAUCAAUAAUUGAAUACUGUGCACUAAAGAAUUAUUGAUGAUAUUUAUUUUAUACUGAUGCAACUAUUUGUACUUUCAAAUGAACUCUUCAGUCUUUCUACAGAGGUAUUUUGAAAUUAAAUUUAAACUUUUAGAAUGA
Molecule: long non-coding RNA, 5132 nt
Organism: Meriones unguiculatus (Mongolian gerbil)
Lineage: Eukaryota; Metazoa; Chordata; Mammalia; Rodentia; Muridae
Exons: 4
Source: RefSeq, a predicted model, not a curated record